Long non-coding RNA from Brassica napus (rape), 1437 nucleotides. RefSeq lists it as uncharacterized. NCBI's taxonomy places the organism in Eukaryota, Viridiplantae, Streptophyta, Magnoliopsida, Brassicales, Brassicaceae. The transcript has 2 exons. The record is from RefSeq and is a predicted model, not a curated record.
AUGUUGUUUGAUGGAUUUCAUAGUGCAGGCAUAUUAGUCGAUAAAGGUGGAAUGGUGAAUCUAGUGUUAAUUACUGCAAGAGUUGCAUGUGCCAUAAUGGAAAUGAAACAUGGUAACUAUGUAUUGUUGUUGGUAUGCCAAGGACAUGAUCUGAUAAACAUAUGUUGCGUGCAAAUGUAUUUGGAUGAUAAGAAAAGUAGUUAAGGUAUCUACCAUUGAUUGAUACUGUUUACAAUAAUAGCUACCACUCGAGUAUUAGAGAAUGUUGGAAACCCUUAUGCUUAACCAAAGUAGGGAAGAACUUGAAUAUAAAGCUGAAAGCGACCCAAUAAACAUCUAAGCAAGUGGAAUUGCUUGAUGUGGAGCCGAAGUAAACACAUCACCAUCGAAUGAUAGUAAUGACAAGUGAUGUAUGGAUUUAGAAUAUGCAUAGGGAUGCAUGUUUUUUGAGGAUGAGACAUUUUUUAUGAAUUGAUUUGGAUUAUAAGUUACAGGUGUUGGGUUAUGGUACUUGAGAUCGUUUGAUUGUGAGAGGAUGGAUGUUGUGUCAUGUCGGUUGGAAUUCCACAACGAAUCUCUGAGUUCGCAAUGUGCAUGUGCAGUAUAUCGUAAGGUUGUCAUAGGACAUGAGUUGCUUGUUUAAAAGCCAUCAUUAGAUGGGUGUCAUAGUUUAUUAAUGGUCAACAGACGUGUUGAGUUUGUAAACUGCAAAGAAACAUUAGUUAAUGGGACAAUGACGUGUGGACUGUCUUAGUUCGAUGGGAAAGUGAUGUGAUUUCAAAUGUCGUUUGGAUAACAAUAAGGAUCAGUAACCCAAGUUAGUUAUGGGAGCCAGUGUAUCACCAAGUGCCGAUUUGUUUUUGAAAAAGCAAUGCACCAUAGUGCCGAAUUGAAUCCAAAGAGGAAUUCUCUGUAAGUGGAGGAGAAUUGCAACAUGGCUAGCCCACUAGAGAAUUAAAGCCCAAAAGAGAAACCCCUAAGAUUUUCCUCCUUCUCCUUUUAUCAUCAGAGAAAACAGAGCUAAGCCGUGCAGAUAUUCCGAGCCGUCAAGACCUAAACCCUAGCCGCCACCGUUGGUGUCUCCGAUCUGCCACCGCAAGCCCGCCUUCGCGCUUUGUGAAGGGUGCUGGUUGGGCGAACGCCGGUUGGGUGGAGAGUGAUGAAGCCGGGUGUCCAGGCGGUUGGCUUGGGUACACUUGUGGAUUAGAGAGUCUAGGAAAUCUUGUUUGAUGCAUUAUAGGCGAUAUUAACUUAUGAUUUGUUCUUGUUGUAUUAUGUGAUCUGAGAUGAGUUCAUAGGUUCAUAUACUUACUAAGUAAACCGAAUUACUCGCCCCUCAUUCUUUAAAGUCCCGUUGUGGUGUCAAUGCUUUUGGGAAGACACAUGUUUUAUUUCAAAAUUUUCGUUGAGCUUUGGUAAGACUUUAGUAUUGUUUUA